AGCGAACGCUGGCGGCAGGCCUAACACAUGCAAGUCGAACGAACCUUUCGGGGUUAGUGGCGGACGGGUGAGUAACACGUGGGAACGUGCCUUUAGGUUCGGAAUAACUCAGGGAAACUUGUGCUAAUACCGAAUGUGCCCUUCGGGGGAAAGAUUUAUCGCCUUUAGAGCGGCCCGCGUCUGAUUAGCUAGUUGGUUGAGGUAAUGGCUCACCAAGGCGACGAUCAGUAGCUGGUCUGAGAGGAUGAUCAGCCACAUUGGGGCUGAGACACGGCCCAAACUCCUACGGGAGGCAGCAGUGGUGAAUCUUGCGCAAUGGGCGAAAGCCUGACGCAGCCAUGCCGCGUGAAUGAUGAAGGUCUUAGGAUUGUAAAAUUCUUUCACCGGGGACGAUAAUGACGGUACCCGGAGAAGAAGCCCCGGCUAACUUCGUG
RNAcentral lists this ribosomal RNA (434 nucleotides) under uncultured bacterium. Its description in RNAcentral is "partial 16S ribosomal RNA". It matches the Rfam family "Bacterial small subunit ribosomal RNA", at positions 29 to 507 of the family's 1533-position model. The record is from RNAcentral.